AGGAGAAGUCGUAACAAGGUUUCCGUAGGUGAACCUGCGGAAGGAUCAUUGUCGAAACCUAACGGUAGAACGACCCGCGAAUCGUCUCAGCGUACUGAACAGAGCUCGCGGGCGCAAAACGCCCGCGCGUCUCGCGUCGCGUCGGUGCGGGCCUUCUCGAAAGGCCGGUGCCGCCCAGACGAACGAACAAAGUCAGCACGGAUCGUGCCAAGGAGGUGUAAAAGGCGAGAAUCGUCGUCCCACGGCCACGGUCCUCCUGGACGGGGGGCGGGGGACAUGCGCGAUCUCUGCUCUUAGUCUUAAUGACUCUCGGCAACGGAUAUCUCGGCCCUUGCAUCGAUGAAGAACGUAGCGAAAUGCGAUACUUGGUGUGAAUUGCAGAAUCCCGCGAACCAUCAAAUCUUUGAACGCAAGUUGCGCCCGAAGCCAUUCGGCCGAGGGCACGCCUGCCUGGGUGUCGUGAAUCCCCUUGCCCUCGGGCACCCGCACGAGCAUCGUCGCGGAGACGCCAGGGCGCAGAGUUUGGUCUCCCGCCCGACCGUCGUGCGCGGCACGCCGAGGUGCGCGGUUGGCCGAAAAUCGAGCGUUGCGAGUCGGGGGCUACACGGCGUUAGGUGGAUCGAACGCGAUUGGCUCCGCCGUGCUCCCGACAUAUGCUGCUGGCUCCGGAGUAGGACUAUUCCCGAGUGCGAUCCCAGGUCAGGCGGGGCUACCCGCUGAGUUUAAGCAUAUCAAUAAGCGGAGGAAAAGAAACUAACGAGGAUUCCCUUAGUAGCGGCGAGCGAACCGGGACGAGCCCAGCAUGAAAAUUGUCCGUCUUCGGCGGGCGAAUUGUAGUCUGGAGAAGCGUCCUCAGUGACGGACCGGGCCCAAGUUCACUGGAAGGUGGCGCCGGAGAGGGUGAGAGCCCCGUCGUGCCCGGACCCUGUCGCACCACGAGGC
Molecule: ribosomal RNA, 942 nt
Filed under: Pterogastra minor
Lineage: Eukaryota; Viridiplantae; Streptophyta; Magnoliopsida; Myrtales; Melastomataceae
Description: eukaryotic LSU rRNA
Rfam family: Eukaryotic large subunit ribosomal RNA (bases 690-942)
Source: RNAcentral